GCGCCCGUAGCUCAGCUGGAUAGAGUACCUGGCUACGAACCAGGGGGUCAGAGGUUCGAAUCCUCUCGGGCGCACCA
This 77-nucleotide transfer RNA is filed under the name Aeromonas hydrophila. Its description in RNAcentral is "tRNA-Arg". It matches the Rfam family "tRNA". Rfam says of the family: Transfer RNA (tRNA) molecules are approximately 80 nucleotides in length. Their secondary structure includes four short double-helical elements and three loops (D, anti-codon, and T loops). Further hydrogen bonds mediate the characteristic L-shaped molecular structure. tRNAs have two regions of fundamental functional importance: the anti-codon, which is responsible for specific mRNA codon recognition, and the 3' end, to which the tRNAs corresponding amino acid is attached (by aminoacyl-tRNA synthetases). tRNAs cope with the degeneracy of the genetic code in two manners: having more than one tRNA (with a specific anti-codon) for a particular amino acid; and 'wobble' base-pairing, i.e. permitting non-standard base-pairing at the 3rd anti-codon position. The record is from RNAcentral. Lineage: Bacteria; Pseudomonadati; Pseudomonadota; Gammaproteobacteria; Aeromonadales; Aeromonadaceae.